UACGUAGGGAGCGAGCGUUGUCCGGAUUCAUUGGGCGUAAAGAGCUCGUAGGCGGCUUGGCAAGUCGGGUGUGAAAACUCCAGCUCAACCUGGAGACGCCACCCGAUACUGCCAUGGCUAGAGUCCGGUAGGGGACCACGGAAUUCCUGGUGUAGCGGUGAAAUGCGCAGAUAUCAGGAGGAACACCGGUGGCGAAGGCGGUGGUCUGGGCCGGAGCUGACGCUGAGGAGCGAAAGCGUGGGGAGCGAACAGG
This 253-nucleotide ribosomal RNA is filed under the name uncultured bacterium. RNAcentral describes it as "partial 16S ribosomal RNA". It matches the Rfam family "Bacterial small subunit ribosomal RNA", at positions 524 to 776 of the family's 1533-position model. The record is from RNAcentral.